AACGAACGUUGGCGGCGUGGAUUAGGCAUGCAAGUCGAACGAGAAAGCCACCUUCGGGUGGUUAGUAAAGUGGCGAACGGGUGAGUAACGCGUGGGAAAUCUGCCCUACAGUUGGGGAUAACACUCCUAACGGAGUGCUAAUACCGAAUGAGACCACGAGAUCGCAUGGUCUUGAGGUUGAAGGUGGCCUCUCCUUGGAAGCUACCGCUGCAGGAGGAUCCCGCGUCCCAUUAGCUUGUUGGCAGGGUAACGGCCUACCAAGGCUUCGAUGGGUAGCUGGUCUGAGAGGAUGGCCAGCCACACUGGGACUGAGAUACGGCCCAGACUCCUACGGGAGGCAGCAGUCGAGAGGCUUCGGCAAUGGGGGGAAACCCUGACCGAGCGACGCCGCGUGGGCGAUGAAGGUUGUAAGAUCGUAAAGCACUUUCAAUCGUGAAGAAAAGUU
RNAcentral lists this ribosomal RNA (445 nucleotides) under uncultured bacterium. Its description in RNAcentral is "bacterial SSU rRNA". It matches the Rfam family "Bacterial small subunit ribosomal RNA", at positions 29 to 454 of the family's 1533-position model. The record is from RNAcentral.